GAUGAACGCUGGCGGUGUGCCUAAUACAUGCAAGUCGAGCGAACGGACGGGAAGCUUGCUUUUCUGAUGUUAGCGGCGGACGGGUGAGUAACACGUGGAUAACCUACCUAUAAGACUGGGAUAACUUCGGGAAACCGGAGCUAAUACCGGAGAAUAUUUUGAACCGCAUGGUUCAAAAGUGAAAGACGGUCUUGCUGUCACUUAUAGAUGGAUCCGCGCUGCAUUAGCUAGUUGGUAAGGUAACGGCUUACCAAGGCAACGAUGCAUAGCCGACCUGAGAGGGUGAUCGGCCACACUGGAACUGAGACACGGUCCAGACUCCUACGGGAGGCAGCAGUAGGGAAUAUUCCGCAAUGGGCGCAAGCCUGACGGAGCAACGCCGCGUGAGUGAUGAAGGUCUUCGGAUCGUAAAGCUCUGUUAUUAGGGAAGAACAUAUGUGUAAGAAACUGUGCACAUCCUGACGGUACCUAAUCAGAAAGCCACGGCUAACUACGUG
This 497-nucleotide ribosomal RNA is filed under the name uncultured bacterium. Its description in RNAcentral is "partial 16S ribosomal RNA". It matches the Rfam family "Bacterial small subunit ribosomal RNA", at positions 28 to 507 of the family's 1533-position model. The record is from RNAcentral.